CAGAACUUCAAGAUCAGUCUUAGCCACUCCAUUGGGUCUAGAUUACUGCCAAUUGAAAUGGGUAUCUAGGGUUUCUGUGAAAGAUCUUGUUUUGAUGUUAGGGUUUGCUCUGUUUGGAGAUCUUGGUUUUCUAGGGUUUAAGUGCAUUGUGAGAGUUGGAGUGGAUUUCUCUUGUUUUGGUAGGCUACAAUGGCUCCAAGCCUGAAUUUCUCCAAUUGGUGGGCGAAGGACACCCGCGACGGCACGCCGGUGGUGGUCACCAUGGAGAACCCUAACUACUCCUUUGUCGAGCUUGAAGGCCCCGGUGGCGCCAAGGGCCGGGGCAAGAAUGCCAAGCAGUUCACUUGGAUUCUUCUCCUCAGAGCCCACCGCGCAGCCGGCUGCGUCGCUUGG
This 393-nucleotide unclassified non-coding RNA is filed under the name Hevea brasiliensis (rubber tree). The record is from RNAcentral. Lineage: Eukaryota; Viridiplantae; Streptophyta; Magnoliopsida; Malpighiales; Euphorbiaceae.